Gorilla gorilla gorilla (western lowland gorilla) is the source of this 964-nucleotide long non-coding RNA. RefSeq lists it as uncharacterized. The record is from RefSeq and is a predicted model, not a curated record. The transcript has 3 exons. Lineage: Eukaryota; Metazoa; Chordata; Mammalia; Primates; Hominidae.
AGGGGCCUUUGUGAGCGCCCAGCUCCGGCGUCUCCUGGACAGCACCGCCCUCCGGUGGCCGCGAGUCGGGAGGGCUGGGGAAGCCGCCCGAGAGGCAGCGCCCGAGCUCCCCACGAGCUGCCGUGCCACUGGAAGCGCUAGCCCCCUCUCCUCGGAGCCCAGCCAAGUCGGGGGGAAGACUGGGAGAGAAAUCGCCACCCCCUAGAGGGCAAGUGGGCUCAGCCCUAGGAAAUGCUUGUUUCUCCAGCCCCUCCCAGACGCCCCGGGGAAACGGCAUCCCAGAGCUCCGCUCCCUGGAGGCCCCUCCAGAGAGGGACCCGGAGCCCCGCCCCGCAGCUGGAGAAGGGGUGAAUGCCUUUCCUACCUAACGCCUGGUCCGCGGCCCUGCUUGUUGCGUCUCCAAGACCACGUGUCUGCUGCAUUUUAAAAAUAGUUGUGAACAUCUGACUUUCUCCUGUUGCUGGCGUGCAGUGGCACAAUCUCUGCUCACUGCAACCUCGGCUUCUCAGGUUCAAGCGAGUCUCCUGGCUCAGCCUUCCCAGUAGCUGGGAUUACAGGCGCGUGCCACCAUGCCCAGACAAGCCAACUUAAAUGUUCAACAGCAGAAGAUUCAUUAAAUAAAAAAUGUUAUGUCGGCUGGGCACGGUGGCUCACGAGUCAUCCCAGCACUUUGGGAGGCUGAGGCAGGAGGAUCACUUGAGGUCAGGAGUUCAAGACCAGCCAGUCCAACAUCGCAAAACCCCGUCUCUACUAAAAAUACAAAAACUAGCUGGGCAUAGUGGUGCAUGCCUGUAGUACCAGCUACUGGGGGCGCUGAGGCAGGAGGAUCACUUGAGCCCAGGAGGUUGACGCUCAGUGAACUAUGAUUAUGCCGCUGUGCUCUAGACUGGGUGACAGAACGAGACCCUGCCUAAAAAAAAGAAAGAAAGAAAGAAAGAAGACCUGAAAGGAGAGUCACCAAAAG